GACGAAGGGGGCUAGCGUUGUUCGGAAUUACUGGGCGUAAAGAGUGUGUAGGCGGUGUUCUAAGUUUGUCGUGAAAUCUCCCGGCUUAACUGGGAGGGUGCGGCGAAAACUGGAAUGCUAGAGGAUGGGAGAGGUAAGCGGAAUUCCUGGUGUAGCGGUGAAAUGCGUAGAUAUCAGGAGGAACACCUGUGGUGUAGACAGCUUACUGGACCAUUUCUGACGCUGAGACACGAAAGCGUGGGUAGCAAACAGG
RNAcentral lists this ribosomal RNA (253 nucleotides) under uncultured bacterium. RNAcentral's name for it is "partial 16S ribosomal RNA". It matches the Rfam family "Bacterial small subunit ribosomal RNA", at positions 524 to 776 of the family's 1533-position model. The record is from RNAcentral.